ACCACACCGCACUUCUCCCGUA
This 22-nucleotide non-coding RNA is filed under the name Arabidopsis thaliana (thale cress). Lineage: Eukaryota; Viridiplantae; Streptophyta; Magnoliopsida; Brassicales; Brassicaceae. The record is from RNAcentral.